AGUGAACGCUGGCGGCGUGGAUUAGGCAUGCAAGUCGAGCGAAUCCUUCGGGAUUAGCGGCAAACGGGUGAGUAACGCGUAGGUAAUUUUCCUUAAAGACAGGCACAGUAACGUGAAAACGUUAGUAAUUCCUGAUGUGGCCACAGUAUCGCAUGGUACAGUGGUUAAAGAUGGGGACUCUUCGGAGCCUAUCACUUUAAGAUGAGCCUGCGUCCUAUCAGCUUGUUGGUGAGGUAACAGCUCACCAAGGCAUAUGACGGGUAGCUGGUCUGAGAGGAUGAUCAGCCACACUGGGACUGAGACACUGCCCAG
Molecule: ribosomal RNA, 312 nt
Filed under: uncultured bacterium
Lineage: Bacteria
Description: bacterial SSU rRNA
Rfam family: Bacterial small subunit ribosomal RNA
Source: RNAcentral